This 564-nucleotide ribosomal RNA is filed under the name Fusarium sp. 1 B150. Its description in RNAcentral is "eukaryotic LSU rRNA". The stretch from base 195 to 348 matches the Rfam family "5.8S ribosomal RNA". Lineage: Eukaryota; Fungi; Ascomycota; Sordariomycetes; Hypocreales; Nectriaceae. The record is from RNAcentral.
AAAGCGUAACAAGGUCUCCGUUGGUGAACCAGCGGAGGGAUCAUUACCGAGUUUACAACUCCCAAACCCCUGUGAACAUACCACUUGUUGCCUCGGCGGAUCAGCCCGCUCCCGGUAAAACGGGACGGCCCGCCAGAGGACCCCUAAACUCUGUUUCUAUAUGUAACUUCUGAGUAAAACCAUAAAUAAAUCAAAACUUUCAACAACGGAUCUCUUGGUUCUGGCAUCGAUGAAGAACGCAGCAAAAUGCGAUAAGUAAUGUGAAUUGCAGAAUUCAGUGAAUCAUCGAAUCUUUGAACGCACAUUGCGCCCGCCAGUAUUCUGGCGGGCAUGCCUGUUCGAGCGUCAUUUCAACCCUCAAGCACAGCUUGGUGUUGGGACUCGCGUUAAUUCGCGUUCCUCAAAUUGAUUGGCGGUCACGUCGAGCUUCCAUAGCGUAGUAGUAAAACCCCUCGUUACUGGUAAUCGUCGCGGCCACGCCGUUAAACCCCAACUUCUGAAUGUUGACCUCGGAUCAGGUAGGAAUACCCGCUGAACUUAAGCAUAUCAAUAAAGCGGGAGGAA